CCCAGAAAAGGCAGUUGGAGCUAGCCAGAGGAGAUGAACUGAGAUUUUUUGUCCUCUGAGUCUACUGACCAAAGAAACUAAACCUCUUCUCUGGGGGUUACUGACCAAGGGACAGACUUCCUUGGCUUCUGGAUGAAGGGGGAAGAAGCUGAGAACUGAUCUCUGUUAGCUUCUGUCCCAGGUUGAAGGACCCUGGGGGGGGGUGCUUCUGGAAUUAGGCUGUGAAGAAAUUAACUUUUGUUAGUGGCUUUGUGUAAUUGGAUGAAGAAAGAAGAAUAAACAGUCGUCCUCCAUCUCUCUGACUGUCCCUGAGUCACAGUUGUGAAAGGAUUGACAAUCUCCAUAAUCCUCCUAAUUCUUCUAAUAGAUUAGGGACAAACCUCAUCCCUCUCACCUCAAUCCCAUUCCUAUUGUUCCCAAUAAAACCCCUUUACUUGAGAAAGGAAAAGAAAGGAGUUUUUUCCAUAUAAAUCUCACAGUCCACUCAGGGAGGAGGAGUGAAGUCAAAAGGCUUCAAGAAGAAGGUGGUUAAGGGAGGUGAAGGGAGGAAGAGGGUAGGAAAUAUCUUUAUCUUAUUAGCCAUUAGUGAUCAAUAGGCAACCCCAGAAUACACCAGAGUAACCCCUCUAGCAGCAUCUCUAUAUCCCUCAUUAUCUCUCUUCUAUCUCCAUUAUAACAACUAGGCACCACCAGGUUUCCCCUAGCAUCUCUCUGGUCACAAGCCAGAGUAUAUUCCAUUUACCACAACCUCCACUUUUCUCUGAUUAGAGGGUUGGAGCAUGCAAUACCUAACCUCUCUUAAUACCUUCCUUUGUAGAGGGCAGAAACUGGACUUUUGGGCUCAUUCCUUCUUCAUUUGCUGCUUUGCCUUGUUUCAGUUCCAUAGAACAAGAUACAACCAGGUUUAGAAGACCAUAGCUUUAAAGCUUUAAGAGACUUUAGAGACCAUCCAGUUGAGCCCUUUCAUUUCACAUAUAAAGAGAUGGAAGCUCAGAGAGAUUAAGUGAUUUGCUUAGGGUCAAAUGGUAAGUGCCCAACUCCAGAUUUUCCUAAAUCUAAGCCAGAUACUGUAUAUAAGUGAUGGUGAAACUUUUAGAGACUAAGUGCCCAAACUGUCACCUCGUGCCACAAGUGAGCUUCCCCCUUAGCCCAGAUAGGGGAAGAAGGAAGCGUUCCCAUUGGGCUAGUAGGCAGAAGGGUGGGUGAUGUCCUCAGGUGUGAUGGAGAGGGGGAAGGGAGCAUAAAUGCCAUAGCUCUGCCAACAUGGCUCUAUACAUUACCCUGUGUCCAUUUUGAGGGAAAUUUUCUCAUGGAUGGAGAAGAAAGGGGCCAAAGCUAGAAGAAGCAGAAGAUUGAAGGUGGAAUGAUAGAAAAUACAGUUGUCACCUGCACUAUCCACCUGAGUAAUACUCUGCAGAACAUUAAAUAUAAAAUGGCACUUUAAAUUUAAUAGACAUUUCUAAAUGCUAAUAAAUAAAUAAUAGCAAUAGUGACUUGACCA
RNAcentral lists this long non-coding RNA (1501 nucleotides) under Monodelphis domestica (gray short-tailed opossum). RNAcentral describes it as "lncRNA (ENSMODG00000046108.1)". The record is from RNAcentral. Lineage: Eukaryota; Metazoa; Chordata; Mammalia; Didelphimorphia; Didelphidae.